This 2609-nucleotide ribosomal RNA is filed under the name Escherichia coli. Its description in RNAcentral is "partial 23S ribosomal RNA". It matches the Rfam family "Bacterial large subunit ribosomal RNA", at positions 323 to 2915 of the family's 2925-position model. RNAcentral also lists the same sequence under 1 other name. Lineage: Bacteria; Pseudomonadati; Pseudomonadota; Gammaproteobacteria; Enterobacterales; Enterobacteriaceae. The record is from RNAcentral.
UGUGUGUUAGUGGAAGCGUCUGGAAAGGCGCGCGAUACAGGGUGACAGCCCCGUACACAAAAAUGCACAUGCUGUGAGCUCGAUGAGUAGGGCGGGACACGUGGUAUCCUGUCUGAAUAUGGGGGGACCAUCCUCCAAGGCUAAAUACUCCUGACUGACCGAUAGUGAACCAGUACCGUGAGGGAAAGGCGAAAAGAACCCCGGCGAGGGGAGUGAAAAAGAACCUGAAACCGUGUACGUACAAGCAGUGGGAGCACGCUUAGGCGUGUGACUGCGUACCUUUUGUAUAAUGGGUCAGCGACUUAUAUUCUGUAGCAAGGUUAACCGAAUAGGGGAGCCGAAGGGAAACCGAGUCUUAACUGGGCGUUAAGUUGCAGGGUAUAGACCCGAAACCCGGUGAUCUAGCCAUGGGCAGGUUGAAGGUUGGGUAACACUAACUGGAGGACCGAACCGACUAAUGUUGAAAAAUUAGCGGAUGACUUGUGGCUGGGGGUGAAAGGCCAAUCAAACCGGGAGAUAGCUGGUUCUCCCCGAAAGCUAUUUAGGUAGCGCCUCGUGAAUUCAUCUCCGGGGGUAGAGCACUGUUUCGGCAAGGGGGUCAUCCCGACUUACCAACCCGAUGCAAACUGCGAAUACCGGAGAAUGUUAUCACGGGAGACACACGGCGGGUGCUAACGUCCGUCGUGAAGAGGGAAACAACCCAGACCGCCAGCUAAGGUCCCAAAGUCAUGGUUAAGUGGGAAACGAUGUGGGAAGGCCCAGACAGCCAGGAUGUUGGCUUAGAAGCAGCCAUCAUUUAAAGAAAGCGUAAUAGCUCACUGGUCGAGUCGGCCUGCGCGGAAGAUGUAACGGGGCUAAACCAUGCACCGAAGCUGCGGCAGCGACGCUGAUGCGUUGUUGGGUAGGGGAGCGUUCUGUAAGCCUGCGAAGGUGUGCUGUGAGGCAUGCUGGAGGUAUCAGAAGUGCGAAUGCUGACAUAAGUAACGAUAAAGCGGGUGAAAAGCCCGCUCGCCGGAAGACCAAGGGUUCCUGUCCAACGUUAAUCGGGGCAGGGUGAGUCGACCCCUAAGGCGAGGCCGAAAGGCGUAGUCGAUGGGAAACAGGUUAAUAUUCCUGUACUUGGUGUUACUGCGAAGGGGGGACGGAGAAGGCUAUGUUGGCCGGGCGACGGUUGUCCCGGUUUAAGCGUGUAGGCUGGUUUUCCAGGCAAAUCCGGAAAAUCAAGGCUGAGGCGUGAUGACGAGGCACUACGGUGCUGAAGCAACAAAUGCCCUGCUUCCAGGAAAAGCCUCUAAGCAUCAGGUAACAUCAAAUCGUACCCCAAACCGACACAGGUGGUCAGGUAGAGAAUACCAAGGCGCUUGAGAGAACUCGGGUGAAGGAACUAGGCAAAAUGGUGCCGUAACUUCGGGAGAAGGCACGCUGAUAUGUAGGUGAAGCGACUUGCUCGUGGAGCUGAAAUCAGUCGAAGAUACCAGCUGGCUGCAACUGUUUAUUAAAAACACAGCACUGUGCAAACACGAAAGUGGACGUAUACGGUGUGACGCCUGCCCGGUGCCGGAAGGUUAAUUGAUGGGGUUAGCGCAAGCGAAGCUCUUGAUCGAAGCCCCGGUAAACGGCGGCCGUAACUAUAACGGUCCUAAGGUAGCGAAAUUCCUUGUCGGGUAAGUUCCGACCUGCACGAAUGGCGUAAUGAUGGCCAGGCUGUCUCCACCCGAGACUCAGUGAAAUUGAACUCGCUGUGAAGAUGCAGUGUACCCGCGGCAAGACGGAAAGACCCCGUGAACCUUUACUAUAGCUUGACACUGAACAUUGAGCCUUGAUGUGUAGGAUAGGUGGGAGGCUUUGAAGUGUGGACGCCAGUCUGCAUGGAGCCGACCUUGAAAUACCACCCUUUAAUGUUUGAUGUUCUAACGUGGACCCGUAAUCCGGGUUGCGGACAGUGUCUGGUGGGUAGUUUGACUGGGGCGGUCUCCUCCUAAAGAGUAACGGAGGAGCACGAAGGUUGGCUAAUCCUGGUCGGACAUCAGGAGGUUAGUGCAAUGGCAUAAGCCAGCUUGACUGCGAGCGUGACGGCGCGAGCAGGUGCGAAAGCAGGUCAUAGUGAUCCGGUGGUUCUGAAUGGAAGGGCCAUCGCUCAACGGAUAAAAGGUACUCCGGGGAUAACAGGCUGAUACCGCCCAAGAGUUCAUAUCGACGGCGGUGUUUGGCACCUCGAUGUCGGCUCAUCACAUCCUGGGGCUGAAGUAGGUCCCAAGGGUAUGGCUGUUCGCCAUUUAAAGUGGUACGCGAGCUGGGUUUAGAACGUCGUGAGACAGUUCGGUCCCUAUCUGCCGUGGGCGCUGGAGAACUGAGGGGGGCUGCUCCUAGUACGAGAGGACCGGAGUGGACGCAUCACUGGUGUUCGGGUUGUCAUGCCAAUGGCACUGCCCGGUAGCUAAAUGCGGAAGAGAUAAGUGCUGAAAGCAUCUAAGCACGAAACUUGCCCCGAGAUGAGUUCUCCCUGACUCCUUGAGAGUCCUGAAGGAACGUUGAAGACGACGACGUUGAUAGGCCGGGUGUGUAAGCGCAGCGAUGCGUUGAGCUAACCGGUACUAAUGAACCGUGAG